ACCUUAAGGAUGCCCAGGGGUCUCCAGAUGUUCAGGUGCCACCUUAAGGAUGCACAAGUGUCUUCAGAUGUUCAAGUGCCACCUUAAGGAUGCACGGGGGGGGGGGUUCCCUGGUUCUUCAGGUGCCACCUUAAGGACCCCCAGGGCUCUCCAGAUGUUCAGGUGCCACCUUAAGGACGCCCAGGGGUCUCCAGAUGUUCAGGUGCCACCUUAAGGACGCCCAGGGGUCUCCAAAUAUUCAGGGGGUCUCGAGAUGUUCAGGUGCCACUUUAAGAACACAUGGGGCUCUCCAGAUGUUCAGGUGCCACCUUAAGGACCCCCAGGGGUCUCCAGAUGUUCGGGUGCCAACUUAAGGGCACCCAGUUGGUCUCCAGAUGUUCGGGUACCACCUUAAGGACCCCCAGGGCUCUCCAGAUGUUCAGGUGCCACCUUAAGGAUGCACAGGGCUCUCCAGAUGUUCAGGUGCCACCUUAAGGCCCCCCAGGGCUCUCCAGAUGUUCAGGUGCCACCUUAAGGACACCCAGGAGUCUCCAAAUAUUCAGGGGGUCUCGAGAUGUUCAGGUGCCACCUUAAGGACCCCCAGGGCUCUCCAGAUGUUCAGGUGCCACCUUAAGNGGCCAUCCGUUGGGGUUUGGUGGUCAUCCGUUGGGGUUUGGUGGCCAUCUGUUGGGGUGGCCAUCCACUGGGAGUUUUGGUGGCCAUCUAUUGCGGUUUGGUGGCCAUCCGUUGAGGUUUGGUGGCCUUCUGUUGGGGUUUGGUGGCCAUCUGUUGGGGUUUGGUGGCCGUCCAUUGGGGUUUGGUGGCCAUCUGUUGGGGUGGCCAUCCAUUGGGAGCUCUCUUUGCCAUCUAUUGGGGUUUGGUGGUCAUCUGUUGGGGUUUGGUGGCCAUCUGCUGGGAUGGCCGUCCAUUGGGAGCUCUCUUGGCCAUCCAUGGGGCUUUGGUGGCCAUCCAUUGAGGUUUGGUGGCCAUCUGUUGGGGUGGCCAUCCAUUGGGAGUUCUCUUGGCCAUCCAUUGGGGUUUGGUGGCCAUCUGCUGGGGUGGCCAUCCAUUGGGAGUUCUCUUGGCCAUCCAUUGAAGUUUGGUGGCCAUUCAUUGGGAGUUUUGGUGGCCAUCCAUUGGGGUUUGGUGGCCAUCCAUGGGGGUUUGGUGGCCAUCCGUUGGGGUGGCCAUCCAUUGCAAGUUUUGGUGGCCAUCUAUUGGGGUUUGGUGGCCAUCUGUUGGGUUUUGGUGGUCGUCUGUUGGGGUGGCCAUCCAUUGGAAGUUUUGGUGGCCAUCCGUUGGGGUUUGGUGGCCAUCCAUUGGGGUUUGGUGGCCAUCCAUGGGGUUUGGUGGCCAUCCGUUGGGGUUUGGUGGCCAUCCGUUGGGGUUUGGUGGCCAUUCGUUGGGGUUUGGGGCCAUCCAUUGGGGCUUGGUGGUCGUCUGUUGGGGUUUGGUGGCCAUCCAUGGGGAGUUUUGUUGGCCAUCCAUUGAGGUUUGGUCGCCGUUUGUUGGGGUUUGGUGGCCAUCUGUUGGGGUGGCCAUCCAUGGGGAGUUUUGGUGGCCAUCUGUUGGGGUUUGGUGGCCAUCUGUUCAGGUGGCCAUCCAUUGGGAGUUCUCUUGGCCAUCCAUGGUGCUUUGGUGGCCAUUCAUUGGGAGUUUUGGUGGCCAUCCAUGGGGGUUUGGUGGCCAUCCAUGGGGGUUUGGUGGCCAUCCAUGGGGGUUUAGUGGCCAUCUGUUGGGGUGGCCAUCCAUUGAGGUUUGGUGGCCAUCC
RNAcentral lists this long non-coding RNA (1750 nucleotides) under Numida meleagris (helmeted guineafowl). RNAcentral describes it as "lncRNA (ENSNMEG00000002930.1)". Lineage: Eukaryota; Metazoa; Chordata; Aves; Galliformes; Numididae. The record is from RNAcentral.